Molecule: long non-coding RNA, 485 nt
Organism: Triticum dicoccoides
Lineage: Eukaryota; Viridiplantae; Streptophyta; Magnoliopsida; Poales; Poaceae
Exons: 3
Source: RefSeq, a predicted model, not a curated record
CCUCCUCUUGAUAUGCAAACUGAGGAAAUCAAGGUGAUGGGAAAGCAUUCUACAGCAGCUGUUGACUUCAGGAUAUUUCAUGGAUGAGUUAUACUCCUUGACUCCCAUGAAUGUAUCAUCCGCUUGCUACGCAAACUGAGGAAAUCAAAGUGGCAAAGCAAUUGACUGCAUGUGUUGACUUCAGGAUAUCUCAAGGACGAGUUAGAAUCUUUGACGCUCAGGGAUGCAUCCUCUGCUUGCUACACAACCUCUGCUUGCUACACAAACUGAGAAAACCAAAGCGGCAAAGCAUUGUACUGCAGAUGUCGACUUCGGGAUAUCUCAUGGAUCAGUUAUACUCCUCGUUGCUCAUGUAAAAUUAGCUUAUUUUGCUCUCUGCAAUUGCAUAAUAGAACGGUUGAGCUAAACAUCUCGCUGCUGAUAUUUUCAAAUGUAUUGCAACCACUGUACAACCCAUCCAUCGUAAUUGAUAUGUUGAGACUGGA